RNAcentral lists this ribosomal RNA (398 nucleotides) under uncultured bacterium. RNAcentral's name for it is "partial 16S ribosomal RNA". It matches the Rfam family "Bacterial small subunit ribosomal RNA", at positions 361 to 776 of the family's 1533-position model. The record is from RNAcentral.
AUAUUGGACAAUGGGCGAAAGCCUGAUUCAGCCAUGCCGCGUGGAUGAUGACGGCCCUNGGGUUGNANAGUCCUUUCGACGGGGANGAUAAUGACGGUACCCGUAGAAUAAGCCCCGGCUAACUUCGUGCCAGCAGCCGCGGUAAUACGAAGGGGGCUAGCGUUGCUCGGAAUCACUGGGCGUAAAGCGCACGUAGGCGGCUUUUUAAGUCAGGGGUGAAAUACUGGAGCUCAACUCCAGAACUGCCUUUGAUGCUGGAGAGCUUGAGUUCGGGAGAGGUGAGUGGAACUGCGAGUGUAGAGGUGAAAUUCGUAGAUAUUCGCAAGAACACCAGUGGCGAAGGCGGCUCACUGGCCCGAUACUGACGCUGAGGUGCGAAAGCGUGGGGAGCAAACAGG